AACGCUAGCUACAGGCUUAACACAUGCAAGUCGAGGGGCAGCAUUGUAGUAGCAAUACUUCAGAUGGCGACCGGCGCACGGGUGAGUAACACGUAUCCAACCUGCCGCUUACUCGGGGAUAGCCUUUCGAAAGAAAGAUUAAUACCCGAUAGUAUAUUUUCUUCGCAUGUUGAAAAUAUUAAAGAAUUUCGGUUAUCGAUGGGGAUGCGUUCCAUUAGGCAGUUGGCGGGGUAACGGCCCACCAAACCUACGAUGGAUAGGGGUUCUGAGAGGAAGGUCCCCCACAUUGGAACUGAGACACGGUCCAAACUCCUACGGGAGGCAGCAGUGAGGAAUAUUGGUCAAUGGACGAAGGUCUGAACCAGCCAAGUAGCGUGAAGGAUGACUGCCCUAUGGGUUGUAAACUUCUUUUAUAUGGGAAUAAAGUUCUCCACGUGUGGAGUUUUGUAUGUACCAUUAUGAAUAAGCAUCGGCUAACUCCGUGCCAGCAGCCGCGGUAAUACGGAGGAUGCGAGCGUUAUCCGGAUUUAUUGGGUUUAAAGGGAGCGUAGGUGGACUGGUAAGUCAGUUGUGAAAGUUUGCGGCUCAACCGUAAAAUUGCAGUUGAUACUGUCAGUCUUGAGUACAGUAGAGGUGGGCGGAAUUCGUGGUGUAGCGGUGAAAUGCUUAGAUAUCACGAAGAACUCCGAUUG
Molecule: ribosomal RNA, 692 nt
Filed under: uncultured bacterium
Lineage: Bacteria
Description: bacterial SSU rRNA
Rfam family: Bacterial small subunit ribosomal RNA
Source: RNAcentral